AGUGAACGCUGGCGGUAGGCCUAACACAUGCAAGUCGAACGGCAGCACAGUAAGAGCUUGCUCUUACGGGUGGCGAGUGACGGACGGGUGAGGAAUACAUCGGAAUCUACUUUUUCGUGGGGGAUAACGUAGGGAAACUUACGCUACUACCGCAUACGACCUACGGGUGAAAGCAGGGGAUCUUCGGACCUUGCGCGAUUGAAUGAGCCGAUGUCGGAUUAGCUAGUUGGCAGGGUAAAGGCCCACCAAGGCGACGAUCCGUAGCUGGUCUGAGAGGAUGAUCGGCCACACUGGAACUGAGACACGGUCCAGACUCCUACGGGAGGCAGCAGUGGGGAAUAUUGGACAAUGGGCGCAAGCCUGAUCCAGCCAUACCGCGUGGGUGAAGAAGGCCUUCGGGUUGUAAAGCCCUUUUGUUGGGAAAGAAAAGCAGCAGGUUAAUACCCCGCUGUUCUGACGGUACCCAAAGAAUAAGCACCGGCUAACUUCGUG
RNAcentral lists this ribosomal RNA (492 nucleotides) under uncultured bacterium. Its description in RNAcentral is "partial 16S ribosomal RNA". It matches the Rfam family "Bacterial small subunit ribosomal RNA", at positions 29 to 507 of the family's 1533-position model. The record is from RNAcentral.